Molecule: ribosomal RNA, 460 nt
Filed under: uncultured bacterium
Lineage: Bacteria
Description: partial 16S ribosomal RNA
Rfam family: Bacterial small subunit ribosomal RNA
Source: RNAcentral
CCUACGGGUGGCAGCAGUGAGGAAUAUUGGUCAAUGGGCUUACGCCUGAACCAGCCAAGUCGCGUGAGGGACGACUGCCCUAUGGGUUGUAAACCUCUUUUGUCAGGGAGCAACGCCGGCUACGUGUAGCCGGACUGAGAGUACCUGAAGAAAAAGCAUCGGCUAACUCCGUGCCAGCAGCCGCGGUAAUACGGAGGAUGCAAGCGUUAUCCGGAUUGAUUGGGUUUAAAGGGUGCGUAGGCGGAAUGUCAAGUCAGCGGUAAAAGCGAGGGGCUCAACCUCGCUCCGCCGUUGAUACUGGCGUGCUAGAGUGGGCGAGAGGUAUGCGGAAUGCGUGGUGUAGCGGUGAAAUGCAUAGAUAUCACGAAGAACUCCGAUUGCGAAGGCAGCAUACCGGCGCUCAACUGACGCUGAGGGACGAAAGCGUGGGGAGCGAACAGGAUUAGAUACCCUGGUAGUC